GGCGGAUGUAGCCAAGUGGAUCAAGGCGGG
Molecule: transfer RNA, 30 nt
Filed under: Banisteriopsis cornifolia
Lineage: Eukaryota; Viridiplantae; Streptophyta; Magnoliopsida; Malpighiales; Malpighiaceae
Description: partial tRNA-His
Source: RNAcentral